Molecule: long non-coding RNA, 941 nt
Filed under: Brassica napus (rape)
Lineage: Eukaryota; Viridiplantae; Streptophyta; Magnoliopsida; Brassicales; Brassicaceae
Description: long non-coding RNA (BNAP_LNC015459)
Source: RNAcentral
UGCCAUUGUCUCCUUCGAAUUGUUUUCACACGUGAGAAUUUAUUGAUCAAUACAAAGUCUUCUUCCGCGUUAUUGUUUCUCUUUCUUCUCCAAUUUUCUCCAGAAACUUAUCUACAUGAAAAUAUAUUUAUUCUGAGAACAAUAAUAAAAUGAGUUUAGAAAUUGCCAAAUACAAAGAAGAAUCAAGAAAAAUUAAAAGAGUAUUAACUUUCGUCGGAAUCUAGACGUGAUGACACGUUAGUUCAAAGAAUGGAACAAGACUACAAGUUAGCUUUGCAUUACCGAUCCCCUCCGCCGCAUCUCUUCCAUCUGUCGAACUCUUUUUGGAGCUCUCAGAUCUCAUCCACAACGACGGUGAUCAUCAAGUCGUUGCCUCUCCUGAUCAGUGCCUCCGAGACCCAAGCUUAUCUCCGCCGCAUCUCUUCGUUUUUUCGAUUUCAGAUAUUGAUGUCCGUUUUCAUGCUCCCAGAUCUCCUAGACACCCUCCGGUAGCCUCGUUGAAGCUCCACUCGUCGCCUUGAUCUUUACUCCGGUGUACCGUGAACCUCAUCAUGUCCAAACUCAGAUCCGUGUCAAGCUUUCAUUCUUUCAGUAUAGGUCCCUUCACUUUAUAUUAUUUUUAGUGUGUCCCUAAAAAUUUUUACUUUGCAAAGUUGCAUUUUAAGUUAGCUCCAAAUUUUUAAUCGUGCAAUUCAACCCUGUUAUAUACAAAUAUUUAUGCAAAUGCAAUAUAAUACAUAAAUGCACACGUAAAUAAUUUAAAUGAACAUAAUUAAGAGGCUUAAACUACUAUAAAUCAUGAGGUAUCAACCAUGAUUAGUUAAGCUUGUGCAUUCGCCUAGUUGAUCUUGGUUCAUCUCUUUCGACCUAAGAACAAGAACAUAAUUGUUUUCAUGCUUUUUAAAUAUUUAAUAAUAAUAUAAAUAUUUUUUUAACUCUAU